UGGGGAAUAUUGGGCAAUGGGCGCAAGCCUGACCCAGCGACGCCGCGUGAGGGAAGAAGGUCUUCGGAUUGUAAACCUCUUUGACAGGGGACGAAGUAAGUGACGGUACCCUGAAAACAAGCCACGGCUAACUACGUGCCAGCAGCCGCGGUAAUACGUAGGUGGCGAGCGUUAUCCGGAAUUACUGGGUGUAAAGGGUGUGUAGGCGGGAUCGCAAGUCAGUGGUGAAACCCGUGGGCUCAACCCACGGCCUGCCAUUGAAACUGCGGUUCUUGAGAAUGGGAGAGGUAAACGGAAUUCCCGGUGUAGCGGUGAAAUGCGUAGAUAUCGGGAGGAACAUCGGUGGCGAAGGCGGUUUACUGGACCAUAACUGACGCUGAGACACGAAAGCGUGGGGAGCAAACAGG
Molecule: ribosomal RNA, 407 nt
Filed under: uncultured bacterium
Lineage: Bacteria
Also listed under: 2 other names
Description: bacterial SSU rRNA
Rfam family: Bacterial small subunit ribosomal RNA
Source: RNAcentral